RNAcentral lists this transfer RNA (67 nucleotides) under Aposthonia borneensis. RNAcentral's name for it is "tRNA-His". Lineage: Eukaryota; Metazoa; Arthropoda; Insecta; Embioptera; Oligotomidae. The record is from RNAcentral.
ACUUAUUUAGUUUAAUAAAAGAAUUUUAAAUUGUGAUUUUAAAGGUGCUGUUUAAUGGCUUUAGGUA